GACGAACGCUGGCGGCGUGCUUAACACAUGCAAGUCGAACGGAAAGGCCCUGCUUUUGUGGGGUGCUCGAGUGGCGAACGGGUGAGUAACACGUGAGUAACCUGCCCUUGACUUUGGGAUAACUUCAGGAAACUGGGGCUAAUACCGGAUAGGAGCUCCUGCUGCAUGGUGGGGGUUGGAAAGUUUCGGCGGUUGGGGAUGGACUCGCGGCUUAUCAGCUUGUUGGUGGGGUAGUGGCUUACCAAGGCUUUGACGGGUAGCCCGCCUGAGAGGGUGACCGGCCACAUUGGGACUGAGAUAGGGCCCAGACUCCAACGGGAGGCAGCAGUGGGGAAUAUUGCGCAAUGGGCGGAAGCCUGAUGCAGCAACGCCGGGUGCGGGAUGACGGCCUUCGGGUUGUAAACAGCUUUCGCCUGUGACGAAGAGUGAGUGACGGUAAUGGGUAAAGAAGCACCGGCUAACUACGUG
Molecule: ribosomal RNA, 468 nt
Filed under: uncultured bacterium
Lineage: Bacteria
Description: partial 16S ribosomal RNA
Rfam family: Bacterial small subunit ribosomal RNA
Source: RNAcentral